Molecule: long non-coding RNA, 1812 nt
Organism: Photinus pyralis (common eastern firefly)
Lineage: Eukaryota; Metazoa; Arthropoda; Insecta; Coleoptera; Lampyridae
Exons: 8
Source: RefSeq, a predicted model, not a curated record
AUCUUGUCAAGUUUCUCAAGCAAAGUAUUACUGCCACAUGUAGAGUACGCUGCACAUCCAUAAUCCAUCCUUGACAGGAUGAGGGCCUUAUAAAUAUCUAGGAGGGUCUUAGGGUGAGCUCCCCACCUACGAUGAGCUAGAACUCUCAUAAUGUUCAGCGAUUUUCUACAUGUAGCCGCAACAUUCUCCAAAUGCUUUGACCAUCGUAAUUCCCUAUCAAAGGUAAGUCCGAGGAACUUGACUUCUUGGACAACACUGAUUAUACGAUUGUUCAUAAACAAAACGGGGUCAUAGUGGGGCUUACGGAGUCGACAAAAGUGAACAACCUUUGUCUUCUCCUCCGACAGCACGUACCCGACAGCAUUGGCGUUAUGACAAAUGAUGUUAAUUGCCGUUUGUAGGUUUCGAGUUAUUGUGCCAACCGUCUUACCAGAACAACAAACCAUUAAAUCGUCUACGUAUAAGCAUUUAUCAAUUGACUCCUCAACACCUUUGGCUAUUUCAUUUAUGGCGAUGCCGAACAGGGAACAACUAAGUGUUGACCCCUGCGGCACACCAUUUUCUAAAACAUACUCUUUGGAGUUGAUAUCGCCGAUUCUUACACAGAACUUCCUAUCCUCUAAAAAGGAUUUUAUAAAUUUAGGUAAAUUCCCUCGAAGAUUGUAUUUAUACAUAUUUUGCAUUAUUCCAUAUCUCCAAGUCAUGUCAUAAGCACCUUUUAUAUCGAAGAAGACCGCAACCAGAUGUUCACCACUGUCAAAUGCCCUCAGAAUUCUGUCUGUCAGUUUGACCAGAUGGUCUACCGUUGACCGUCCUUUCCGAAAACCAGUUUGCAGUUUUCCCAAGCAAGAUGUCAAACUAAUUGGGCGAUAACUUUGUGCCUGCAACGGAUCUUUUCCUGGUUUCGGUAUAGGAAUUACGAUGGCUUGCUUCCAUUCUGAGGGAACUACAGUGGCGAAGCAUCUGGUUAUGGAUAGCGUCUUCUCCCGGUGAACAUGACUUGGUGUUACGGAUUGCUGCCUCCAAUUCUUCUACAGUAAAAGGUUUGGUAUCUAGAAAGGUGUUGGAAUAGUUUGACGAGCUACUGACUUUAUAGAACUGAUCUGCAAUUAUGUUAGUUAUGUCUUGCAGUUUAUUGAUAUAGCUCCGACUUUCUUCCAGACAUCAUUACUGGUAGUCUCUGGUGUCAUGGUUGUUACAUAAUGUUGCCAUGAAAUUCUUUGGGCUUCUAGUAUUCCCCUACGACACUGAGAUCUUCGUUUUUUGAACUCUACAAGAUUCUCCAACGUGACCACCACGGGACCAUCUUUCGCCUAUUGCCAGGUUUAGAUUUAGGUAUGCUGGCGUCAGCAGCGUUUAUGAUGGAAGAGCUAUCGUUUUUAUUGGAAGAUUGUGACCCCUGACUGUGAUAAUAAUGGGAAAAUGGUCACUAUGAUGUAGAUCAUCUUCCACCUCCCAUUUCAGGCUAGUAUGUAUACCUGGUGAACAUACUGAUACAUCGAUGGAGUCAAAUGUGCCUGAUCCUGCAUUGAAAAAUGUAGCGGAGCCAUCAUUUACAUCAUUUGAUCUGGAGCCCCAAACGGUGUUGUGGGAAUUAAAAUCCCCAACAAGAAUAAAUGGUGGUGGAAGCUGCCCAAUAAUUUUUCGAAUUUCUUCGACAUCAUAAUUUGUAUUGGGAGUGUAAAUAUUACAAAGUGUACACGAUCUACUAAUUUCAAGUUUAACGGCUACAGCCUGGUAAGUUGUAUGUAAUUUAACUUGUUUAUAAGGUGUUCCUUUGUGAAUGAGAAAUGCUACUCCUCCACAGGCUCU